Molecule: ribosomal RNA, 253 nt
Filed under: uncultured bacterium
Lineage: Bacteria
Description: partial 16S ribosomal RNA
Rfam family: Bacterial small subunit ribosomal RNA
Source: RNAcentral
UACGGGGGGGGCAAGCGUUGUUCGGAUUUACUGGGCGUAAAGGGCGCGUAGGCGGCGUGUUAAGUCACUUGUGAAAUCUCUGAGCUUAACUCAGAACGGUCAAGUGAUACUGAUGUGCUAGAGUGCAGAAGGGGCAACCGGAAUUCUUGGUGUAGCGGUGAAAUGCGCAGAUAUCAGGAGGAACACCGAUGGCGAAGGCAGUGUUCUGGGCCAGUACUGACGCUGAGGAGCGAAAGCGUGGGGAGCAAACAGG